RNAcentral lists this ribosomal RNA (232 nucleotides) under uncultured Enterobacterales bacterium. RNAcentral describes it as "partial 16S ribosomal RNA". It matches the Rfam family "Bacterial small subunit ribosomal RNA", at positions 99 to 334 of the family's 1533-position model. Lineage: Bacteria; Pseudomonadati; Pseudomonadota; Gammaproteobacteria; Enterobacterales. The record is from RNAcentral.
CGGACGGGUGAGUAAUGUCUGGGAAACUGCCUGAUGGAGGGGGAUAACUACUGGAAACGGUAGCUAAUACCGCAUAACGUCGCAAGACCAAAGAGGGGGACCCUCGGGCCUCUUGCCAUCGGAUGUGCCCAGAUGGGAUUAGCUUGUUGGUGGGGUAACGGCUCACCUAGGCGACGAUCCCUAGCUGGUCUGAGAGGAUGACCAGCCACACUGGAACUGAGACACGGUCCAG